This 305-nucleotide ribosomal RNA is filed under the name uncultured bacterium. RNAcentral describes it as "bacterial SSU rRNA". It matches the Rfam family "Bacterial small subunit ribosomal RNA", at positions 333 to 636 of the family's 1533-position model. The record is from RNAcentral.
GGGUGCCUACGGGGCGCAGCAGUGAGGAAUAUUGGUCAAUGGGCGCGAGCCUGAACCAGCCAAGUAGCGUGAAGGAUGACUGCCCUACGGGUUGUAAACUUCUUUUAUAAAGGAAUAAAGUGAGGCACGUGUGCCUUUUUGUAUGUAUUUUAUGAAUAAGGAUCGGCUAACUCCGUGCCAGCAGCCGCGGUAAUACGGAGGAUCCGAGCGUUAUCCGGAUUUAUUGGGUUUAAAGGGAGCGUAGAUGGGUCGUUAAGUCAGCGGUAAAAGCCCGGGGCUCAACCCCGGCGAGCCGUUGAAACUGG